Molecule: long non-coding RNA, 236 nt
Filed under: Setaria italica (foxtail millet)
Lineage: Eukaryota; Viridiplantae; Streptophyta; Magnoliopsida; Poales; Poaceae
Description: long non-coding RNA (SITA_LNC004795)
Source: RNAcentral
UUUGGGUUCACCUUUUUCUGUCCAGGGUGGGGGUGUGUAAAGUCGGCCGGAGUACGUCGGGUAGUACAAUACUCCAUAUAGCGUGUUGCUUGGCCCCACCACCUAGAACUACAAGUCAACGGCCCGUGGGAUGUAUCAGUCCUUCAAGUGGAGUUUGGCAUGCUGUGUCCUGCAUGAAACCAAAAUUUUCUUUAACGGCGUAAAUUUCAUUUCACUGUACAUACAUUGUAUUUUCU